This 534-nucleotide long non-coding RNA is filed under the name Homo sapiens (human). RNAcentral describes it as "HSALNT0246508". The record is from RNAcentral. Lineage: Eukaryota; Metazoa; Chordata; Mammalia; Primates; Hominidae.
CGAGGGUGCUCCACUGUGCCAGGAGGCUGCAGGCUGGAAAUCCCGAGAAGGUUCUCCACUUUCGCUUUAACAUCUUCAUCAAAUCCUCCUGAAAUCACAAAUGAGCGGGGCGGUUGGAGGGGCCUCUGGAGGAGGGGAGGGGGCUACAUUGGGACCUGCAGGCCUAGGUACUGGGGCAGUGGGCGGGCGGCAAUGGAGAGCCACUGGCCAGGCCCAGCCCCGCGUGUGCCGGCCCCAAGGGGACCUGGGGGCAAAUGGGCCUGCUGCUUCUCUUUAAACACGUGAAAUACGUUCCUUAUUUUAAAAAUCAGAAAACAGAAGUAAGACUGUGUUGCCAGCAGCAACACCCGGACAGCAAGUGGCUCUUCCUGCUGGGCGCAGCCCGACCCACACAGGUGUCCAGGGCUCACGCAGAGUUUGCCACUGUGUUUUACACAAUCGAUGGAAUAUUCUAGAGCACCCGAAACAAACCCAUGAGGCCUGCAGGCACCAGCGUGGACGAAUCUCCGACUUGGUGUUCAUGGAAAUGCUUGC